This 697-nucleotide ribosomal RNA is filed under the name uncultured Bacteroidales bacterium. RNAcentral's name for it is "bacterial SSU rRNA". It matches the Rfam family "Bacterial small subunit ribosomal RNA", at positions 66 to 755 of the family's 1533-position model. The record is from RNAcentral. Lineage: Bacteria; Pseudomonadati; Bacteroidota; Bacteroidia; Bacteroidales.
GGGGCAGCAUAAUGGAUAGCAAUAUCUAUGGUGGCGACCGGCGCACGGGUGCGUAACGCGUAUGCAACCUACCUUAACAGGGGGAUAACACUGAGAAAUUGGUACUAAUACCCCAUAAUAUCAUAGAAGGCAUCUUUUAUGGUUGAAAAUUCCGAUGGUUAGAGAUGGGCAUGCGUUGUAUUAGCUAGUUGGUGGGGUAACGGCUCACCAAGGCGACGAUACAUAGGGGGACUGAGAGGUUAACCCCCCACACUGGUACUGAGACACGGACCAGACUCCUACGGGAGGCAGCAGUGAGGAAUAUUGGUCAAUGGACGCAAGUCUGAACCAGCCAUGCCGCGUGCAGGAUGACGGCUCUAUGAGUUGUAAACUGCUUUUGUACGAGGGUAAACGCAGAUACGUGUAUCUGUCUGAAAGUAUCGUACGAAUAAGGAUCGGCUAACUCCGUGCCAGCAGCCGCGGUAAUACGGAGGAUUCAAGCGUUAUCCGGAUUUAUUGGGUUUAAAGGGUGCGUAGGCGGUUUGAUAAGUUAGAGGUGAAAUUUCGGGGCUCAACCCUGAACGUGCCUCUAAUACUGUUGAGCUAGAGAGUAGUUGCGGUAGGCGGAAUGUAUGGUGUAGCGGUGAAAUGCUUAGAGAUCAUACAGAACACCGAUUGCGAAGGCAGCUUACCAAACUAUAUCUGACGUUGAGGCACG